Molecule: ribosomal RNA, 506 nt
Filed under: uncultured bacterium
Lineage: Bacteria
Description: partial 16S ribosomal RNA
Rfam family: Bacterial small subunit ribosomal RNA
Source: RNAcentral
AUUGAACGCUGGCGGCAGGCCUAACACAUGCAAGUCGGACGGUAGCACAGAGGAGCUUGCUCCUCGGGUGACGAGUGGCGGACGGGUGAGUAAUGUCUGGGGAUCUGCCCGAUAGAGGGGGAUAACCACUGGAAACGGUGGCUAAUACCGCAUAACGUCGCAAGACCAAAGAGGGGGACCUUCGGGCCUCUCGCUAUCGGAUGAACCCAGAUGGGAUUAGCUAGUAGGCGGGGUAACGGCCCACCUAGGCGACGAUCCCUAGCUGGUCUGAGAGGAAGAACAGCCACACGGGAACUGAGACACGGUCCAGACUCCUACGGGAGGCAGCAGUGGGGAAUAUUGCACAAUGGGCGCAAGCCUGAUGCAGCCAUGCCGCGUGUAUGAAGAAGGCCUUCGGGUUGUAAAGUACUUUCAGCGGGGAGGAAGGCGAUGUGGUUAAUAACCGCGUCGAUUGACGUUACCCGCAGAAGAAGCACCGGCUAACUCCGUGCCAGCAGCCGCAGUAA